GCUGGGUUGGAUAUCACAUUGCAUCUUUGUGGGAUUAAGAGAAAAACAGCAACAAAAAUCAGCCCCAUGAAGUUAAUGGACCUUUAAUAGGAUUAAAAGGAAGCAAGAGUGAACAGAACCCCUCUUCUGUGAUGCACCGAGCCACUACAAACAGAAGCACCAGGACUAGUGACCAUGGACUGAGACCUCUGAAUUCCUGAGCCAAAGUAAACAUUCUUCCUUUUUAUCUGACCACCUCAGGGCCUUUGAAGCAAUGAACUCUGAAUGUCAAUGAACACAACAAAGGUCUAAUUUUUGGCAUUUAAAUAUCACAUUAGAACCAAAAGAGCUCAAAGCUGAUAAAGAAGUGGUUAAUUACAGGGCAAGGGCAGGAAAAAAAAAAAGUAAUAUAAAGUGCCCAG
This 401-nucleotide long non-coding RNA is filed under the name Cricetulus griseus (Chinese hamster). RNAcentral describes it as "lncRNA (ENSCGRG00015040097.1)". The record is from RNAcentral. Lineage: Eukaryota; Metazoa; Chordata; Mammalia; Rodentia; Cricetidae.